Molecule: ribosomal RNA, 253 nt
Filed under: uncultured bacterium
Lineage: Bacteria
Description: partial 16S ribosomal RNA
Rfam family: Bacterial small subunit ribosomal RNA
Source: RNAcentral
UACGGAGGGGGCGAGCGUUGUCCGAAGUUACUGGGCGUAAAGCGCGUGUAGGCGGGUUGCCAAGUCCGCUGUGAAAGCCCGAGGCUCAACCUCGGAGGGUCGGUGGAUACUGGCAGUCUUGAAGGUGCUAGGGGGAGAUGGAAUUACCGGUGUAGCGGUGAAAUGCGUAGAUAUCCGGAGGAAUACCAAAGGCGAAGGCAGUGUCCUGGAGGGUGACUGACGCUGAGGCGCGAAAGCUAGGGGAGCGAACAGG